GACAGAGGGUGCAAACGUUGCUCGGAAUCACUGGGUGUAAAGGGCGUGUAGGCGGGACGGUAAGUCGGGCGUGAAAUCCCUAGGCUCAACCUAGGAACUGCACUCGAAACUACCAUUCUUGAGUGUCGGAGAGGAAAGCGGAAUUCCUGGUGUAGAGGUGAAAUUCGUAGAUAUCAGGAGGAACACCAGUGGCGAAGGCGGCUUCUGGACGAUAACUGACGCUGAGACGCGAAAGCGUGGGGAGCAAACAGG
Molecule: ribosomal RNA, 252 nt
Filed under: uncultured bacterium
Lineage: Bacteria
Description: partial 16S ribosomal RNA
Rfam family: Bacterial small subunit ribosomal RNA
Source: RNAcentral